RNAcentral lists this long non-coding RNA (2795 nucleotides) under Cricetulus griseus (Chinese hamster). RNAcentral describes it as "lncRNA (ENSCGRG00015041005.1)". The stretch from base 84 to 154 matches the Rfam family "Small nucleolar RNA SNORD107". Lineage: Eukaryota; Metazoa; Chordata; Mammalia; Rodentia; Cricetidae. The record is from RNAcentral.
GCUGCAUUUAAGACAGAAACAUAAAGCAUACAAGGUAAUGUAAUCUUUUGAUAAAAAAGAGCAUUUUACAGAGGCCUUGACUAGGUUUAUGAUGACAAAGGACCUUGUCUGACCAUAAUGAUUUAAAGAAAUGAGCUUGAAAAAUUCUGAAAUCUAGUCAGUGUGCCUCACUAUAUAUUAUUGCUUAUAACUCUCAAUAGAAAAUAUUUGUUUAGAUGGGCAUAGUGGCACAUACUUGUAAUCCCAGCACUUGAGGCUGAGGUGAUGAUUACAAGCUCCAUGCCACCAUAUGUUGCAUACAAGAUAUUGUCUUCAUAAUGAAAGCAAAUAGUCAUUAUGGAAAAAAAAAUGAAAGCAAAUAAUCGUGAGGGAUGUGAGAACUUCUCAAACCUGGAAAAUACAGUAUUGCACUUUUCCAUAUUCUUCAAUAUUGUUUCAUAAAUGUUUUGAGAUAAUUUGUUUCUGCAUUUUGUAUUUUGUUGAAAGCAAAACAUGAAAUGUCCAUGGAUCACAAAAGACAUAGGCACCUGUUGAUAUGGAAAUAAGAAUGUGUAAAAGUGGAACUCCAAAGUCUUGAAAAAUGGAAUGAAUCAUUCUGGAUUUGUAAGUGCUAUCAAUCAGGAGGAAAGGGUAAUGUUUACAGAGGAUGUACAUUGUGGAAUGCGGAUUAUUAAAGGUAAACAUCUAGCGUUCCCUCAAAUGUACUGCAAGAAAAAGUAGCCUGGAUGACAUUAAAGGCAACAUAAAACAACAUGUAGAGUUGGGCUUGAUGAGGAACACUUACAUCAUCACCUGCCAAUAUUCUACUCAGCUACAUACCGAGUUUGAGGUCAGCCUGGAGUCUUAAGACCAAGUGUCAGAAGAAAACAAACAAACAAAAAAAAAACUGAACACCUUGCUACAAAAAAAAAUAACAGGAGUUAGAAGAAUGUAUAAUUAUUUUCAAAUUUUACAGUUCACAACUAAAAUUUUCUGGUUCUGAAAAUGUUAAUUAGAUUGUUUAUAUAAAAAUUACCAGAUCUAUCAAUGAACAGAGCAUAAGGAUUUUAGCUUAAGAUACAUGUAAUUUAACACUUGAAAUACCCAAUUUCUAUAGAAGUAUUGUUUGUUGUAUUUUAAUUGAAGAAAUGAACAAUUUACCUACAUGUAUACAUACAUGUUUUUCAUUCUUUCAGCUGAUAAUUACACGUAGGGAUUAUUUUCCUGAGAGUUAAUACUUUUGCAUUACAAUGCAUAUUAUUUUACAGUAAUAUUUGAAGAGUUUUCAAGUUAUUUAAAGUAAACAAUGUAUACAUUCAUGGAAAUUUCCUCGUAAGAACAACUACAAUGAAUGAACAAUUUAUGGAAAUGAAAAAGAUAUUCAGGAAGAAUGUUAUAGUUUGAACACUCCUAAAUAGAAAGGAGUAAGAACACUUCUGUCUGCCUUUGCAUUUUAUAAGGGCCUUUGCAAAUAAACAGAUAAACAAGAAGAAAACAAGAAAAAGACAAUUUUUCCCAGUACCAAUCUCAGGAGUGCUGGGUUUCCAUAUCCACCUUUGUACUCCUAGCAGCACUUAUGGUUUAUGAACAUUUUUUGAAGAAUUUUAAGACACUCUGGGAUUUUAUGAUUCAACAAAAAGUAAUGCAUUAGCCAAUGACCCAAAGGAGAAGACGAAAUUUAACGUGGUCCUGAUGUCAGACUUAUUAAACCUACCUUGAUAUUUACUUAUGAAGUCCAAGAAAAUUGACUUUACUAAAGUGUUGCAUGCAAGCUAUAGGUGAUCUGUGCUUUCAGGUGAUCACCAAAAAAAAGACAAUUAUAACCUUCAUAACUGAAAAAAUGUCUCAUGUGUGGUGUAAGUAGUCUUCACAAUCAUUAAAAUUGAAGCAAAUUGACGGAGACUAAUGGAUUCUUUGAAGACAAUUUUUUUGAGGCAUUUUCAUUGCUGCUGUUGGAUUAGCUCAAGAAAUAAAGACAAAACUACAUGGAUCAAAAUAGUAUGAUGGAAGUGACAUUGGCUUCAUCACAUUGUUUUCUUAAGUAUGAAGUGUUUCUCAUAACAAUCAUUUCAUGAUAAUUUUGAGGCUGAUUUGAAGUUAAUUAUAAUUGAUUAUGAACUUUUUAAAAGAAGUUUUCAUUUUGAUAUUCCUUUUCCAAUGGUUUAUGUAGCACAGCCUGAACUUUGAACUCACACAACUUCCUGAUUGGUGAAAUUAUAGAAAUUUAACCAUGUGCUAAGUUCACAGUAGUAUAUGAAGCUUUAUUAUUUCAUAUUAAGUUCCUCCUAAUUUUAACAUACUGUGUUAACCAAAGUUUAUGGAGUUCUCUAGUACUAUUUGGAACAUUUUUCAUACAUAUUUGUAAUUGCCUCUCAUGAGUUUAGGUAAUAGCUUUACAUUUUCUACAUAGCAAGUAUGUUCAUAUGGAAAUAUGAAUCUUACAAAUAGUUCAAAUAAUUUCUAUUGCUUUGAAGUAACAUGCCAAAGUAUAUCAAAUCUACAUUUUGAGCAAAUGACUUAAGAAUUAAUGGAUUUGACCAUUAUUUAGUUAAUAGUACAUUUAUUGUGGUUACUGGUAAUAUAAUAUUGUAACAUACUAUUUAUUUAAUAUUAAAUCAUCAUGCUAUUCAUUUUUAUGUGUUCUGUUUGAGUUUCCAUGCUGAGUAUCUGUUACUUGUUUAUAAGCUCAUUUGUAAUGAGUGUGUAAGCAACUCAUCAUGUGUGUCAAAUGAAAUAUUAUGUGUUUGUAUUUACUUUGUUUUAAUGUUAGGAUGUAUAUAAAUUAUACAUUGAAAUACAAUCAUUUCUCUCAUGUG